This 2313-nucleotide unclassified non-coding RNA is filed under the name Leishmania donovani. RNAcentral's name for it is "gene:LdHU3.24.2010(CDS-product:UBA/TS-N_domain_co ntaining_protein_putative)". Lineage: Eukaryota; Euglenozoa; Kinetoplastea; Trypanosomatida; Trypanosomatidae. The record is from RNAcentral.
UGUCGUCUUCUCUCUUCAUCUCUUGUUCUCCUGCUUGCCACACACCGGCACAUGCCCCUCCCCCUCCCCCAAACACACACACACACACACACCUUCCCUCCGGACCCGCACCCAUUCACAAUAACUGAAGAGCAGUAACGCCCGCUCGCCUUUACAAACACACGAGCACAUACUGCAGGGGAGAACGGGAAGGGAAACGAUAAAGACGAAGCACGACGCACACACGCACGAAACCGUCAUCUAACACAGCGCAUCAUACAAGAACAACCUAGCGCACUUCAGACAGGACAACCCGCUCCUCCCUCCGGCCAGUGCACAGCCGAAGGAGAGGCCGAAGAGCGGGGCGAGGGUGCGGCGCACAUACACACGCCAGCGGUAUCAGGGGAGGUGAACAAGGGGAGAGAUCAAGGCGUGUGAGGGGGCGUGCUAGGGACUGUCUCUCGACGUGCCGUCAUCUGUGCGCGCGUGUGAACCCAUCAUUAAGCGAAGCAAAAGUGCCACAACACCCAUACCCUCUGCCCAAAGCGUUGCAUACACACACACACACACACAGGCGCCCGUGUGUGCCAGCACUUGAACCGACAACAAACACCGAAGAGGAGGAGGAGGAGGAGGCUGGCUGCACCGGGAAUAUCGUCGCAACAAAAGCAGGGACGUGCACUCGGCAACCAUGAUUCUGGAAGGCGCGCCGGUGACGGGGCUGACGCUGCUCAUCUCUACCGUGUCAUCAACAAUGGUUCGAGGCCAGUACACGCGCUACCGUAACAUGGCCUUUGCUCCCGACACGCUGGCGGCCCCCCUCACCUGCUUCGCGUUGGCAAAGCGUCUCCUGCUGCAGAGCAUUCCGAUAGGCCCGCUCGGCAUCUCUGUUAUGGAUAUCUUUCUCUCUAUCAACCUGCUCUACCAGUUUCGCACGCUGGAGCGGCGGUGGGGGUCCAACACGUACAUGGCGUUUCUCUUUACGUCAGCUGUGCUUGGCGUGUGCACUGUCCAGCUCUUCGUCACGGAGAGUGGGUCGAAGCAACUGUCCAUCGACGCUGUCCGCAUCCUCUCUGCUGCCGGCACCAUUGUUCCUUUGGCGGCGUUGCUCACGUGCUAUCUUCGGGAGGUGCCCUCGCGGUCGACGUUGGCGAUGCGCAUUCCCGGCACGAACCUCAUCAUUUCAGAGAAGGCCCUGACACUGCUGCCGCUAAUGAAGCUCGUGCUGAGCCCUAGCACGCAGCUGCAGGCGCAGACGUUCCGCCGGGCGGCGGUGGAGGCCGACGUUGGGGUGUGGACACGAUUGUGGCUCGCCCUCGUCGGCGCUAUUUUUGCCAUCAUGUCCACGCGCUCGCAUGUCGUGCGGUGGUGGCUGACGGUCUUCACUCGGUACAUAUGCCGCCCGCUGCUGCGUUUCCUGAGGCCUCUGACAGACGUCCUGUUUGGGCCGUCGUUCACCGUGGACCACGCCAAGCCUCGGAACGCGCGGCACCACCAGGGUGGCAACGGGAGCUUUCAACUGGGCAUCGGCGGCGCUCGCGCUGGCUUCGAUGGCGCUGACGACGCAGGUGUCGUAGACGGUGGUCGAUACGUGGUGGAGAGCCUGACAGGUGGCGACACGCUGCAGGAGGUGCGUGCCCGCAUGCGCGCGCGGCGCCACGGGGCUCAACAGCAGCAGCAGGGCUCACGAGGUGGCGCCGUGGCCGCUGGUGCGCCUGCCCAAGCGCGGCGCCGCAGCCCGCAGGAGGAGACGGCAAGGAACGAGGCAAUUGCGACCAUAGAGGCAAUCGGCCUCCGCGCGUCACGUGACGAGAUCAUCGCAGCGUUGGACAUGACGGGAGGCAACCUUGAGAUGGCUGUGCAGAUCCUUCUGGGCAACUAAAACGCGCUGAGUGAUCCCUGUGAUCACCACCACCCUGUGCCUGAACGCGUUCUUUAUACAUCUCGCGGUGACGUUGCUCUUGCAGCUCUGCCAUGACUGGGAUUGCUCUUCGACGCUAGCUUUACCCCCUCCGCCCUCCCCGUGCUCUCUUGAUGCGCUUCCCUCCCUCUCUCCUUUCACCCUCUGCGCGCGUGUGCGCCACAUCGGUACUGCCCUGGCCCCGCCCUGAACCUCCAUUCAACAUCGCUCCUCGCCCUCUCAACCCCCCCCUCUCCAAACAGAAAGCCAACAUCUUCAUUUAUGCGGUCUUUAUAUGCUGGUGCACGUGUGUGCGUGUGCCGCCAAGAUACCCUCCCCCUUCUCUGCAUGUCUCUCUCUGUGUAUAUCGUCGACACUCUCUUGUAACGGCUAGUGCCGUUGCGUGACGCACCCUGCCUGUCUCGCCGUCCUAG